RNAcentral lists this ribosomal RNA (253 nucleotides) under uncultured bacterium. Its description in RNAcentral is "partial 16S ribosomal RNA". It matches the Rfam family "Bacterial small subunit ribosomal RNA", at positions 524 to 776 of the family's 1533-position model. The record is from RNAcentral.
UACGUAGGGACCGAGCGUUGUCCGGAAUCAUUGGGCGUAAAGAGCGUGUAGGCGGCUUGCUAAGUCUUGCGUGAAAUCUCGGGGCUCAACCCCGAGCGGUCGUGGGAAACUGGCAGGCUAGAGUGCGGGAGAGGAGAAUGGAAUUCCUGGUGUAGCGGUGAAAUGCGCAGAUAUCAGGAAGAACACCCGUGGCGAAGGCAGGUCCCUGGGCAUUAACUGACGCUGAGGAGCGAAAGCAUGGGGAGCGAACAGG